CAAUCUCUUUUGUACUCAGCAAAAAAAAUACAAGAGGAACAACGGAGAUAUUGGGGAAAUGAAGACCUUAAAGUUGUUGUGAAGCGUUCUUGAUCCUCUUUCAAACUUGAUUGUGCCUGUGCUUGACAUCAGAUGCAGAACUUUGAUGAGGUAGCUGGUGAGAUAGUCUCCUAUUAUUUAAGUAUGAAUCGUUGAUAAACUCCUACUUGUGUGCUAACUACUUUCAAAUUACUGUGAAUGAAAAAUGUUGUGUUAUCAGAUAUUGUACAGACCAAAGAGAUAGGUAACUAAAUGUAAAUGGUUGGUGAUGUUUGUUAAA
Non-coding RNA from Salvia hispanica, 319 nucleotides. The record is from RefSeq and is a predicted model, not a curated record. Lineage: Eukaryota; Viridiplantae; Streptophyta; Magnoliopsida; Lamiales; Lamiaceae.